UUUUGUGGGCGGGGACCCUCCCUCUUCCCUUCUCCCUCCUCCCUCCUCCAGUCUCCUUGGGAGAGGUUUAACCGUGUGAGGACUGGAGUUCUCCCUGCCGCCUCGACUCCUUGUCAGCUGGGCCGGCGCGGGCGCCACGCCUGGGGUCAGGCACGAAGCUCGGAAAAUCCUCCAUGACCGAGAUGAGGAAAAGCUGGUGUUGCCGGGAAGGGGCCCUUCGCCAGUCGCUUUUGUCGGUGCCGGCACAACUUGACCUGCGUUUCGCCCUUCCAUUUACCUCCACGAGACGAAGGAGAUCUGCCCUUGGUUAGAAAGUAAAAUCAAAGGAGCACCCAGGAAAGUUAACCAACUGAGAAGGCCAAGGAACCUCUGGACUUGUCUGAGUGGCUUGAGUGAUGUUGUGCUGUUCCUUCACAUCAUACUCUUCACUGGUAAGCAGCACUGAGUCACUUUUGACUUUGUUUUUCAAAUCAUUU
Panthera uncia (snow leopard) is the source of this 476-nucleotide long non-coding RNA. RefSeq lists it as uncharacterized. The transcript is spliced from 2 exons. The record is from RefSeq and is a predicted model, not a curated record. NCBI's taxonomy places the organism in Eukaryota, Metazoa, Chordata, Mammalia, Carnivora, Felidae.